RNAcentral lists this ribosomal RNA (1154 nucleotides) under uncultured bacterium. RNAcentral's name for it is "bacterial SSU rRNA". It matches the Rfam family "Bacterial small subunit ribosomal RNA", at positions 239 to 1401 of the family's 1533-position model. The record is from RNAcentral.
CAUUAGCUAGUUGGAGGGGUAACGGCCCACCAAGUCAACGAUGGAUAGGGGUUCUGAGAGGAAGGUCCCCCACAUUGGAACUGAGACACGGUCCAAACUCCUACGGGAGGCAGCAGUGAGGAAUAUUGGUCAAUGGACGAGAGUCUGAACCAGCCAAGUAGCGUGAAGGAUGACUGCCCUAUGGGUUGUAAACUUCUUUUAUACGGGAAUAAAGUGGAGUAUGCAUACUCCUUUGUAUGUACCGUAUGAAUAAGGAUCGGCUAACUCCGUGCCAGCAGCCGCGGUAAUACGGAGGAUCCGAGCGUUAUCCGGAUUUAUUGGGUUUAAAGGGAGCGUAGGCGGGUGCUUAAGUCAGUUGUGAAAGUUUGCGGCUCAACCGUAAAAUUGCAGUUGAUACUGGGCGCCUUGAGUGCAGCAUAGGUAGGCGGAAUUCGUGGUGUAGCGGUGAAAUGCUUAGAUAUCACGAAGAACUCCGAUUGCGAAGGCAGCUUACUGGACUGUAACUGACGCUGAUGCUCGAAAGUGUGGGUAUCAAACAGGAUUAGAUACCCUGGUAGUCCACACAGUAAACGAUGAAUACUCGCUGUUGGCGAUACACAGUCAGCGGCCAAGCGAAAGCAUUAAGUAUUCCACCUGGGGAGUACGCCGGCAACGGUGAAACUCAAAGGAAUUGACGGGGGCCCGCACAAGCAGUGGAGUAUGUGGUUUAAUUCGACGCAACGCGAAGAACCUUACCAAGUCUUGACAUCCCUUGACGAUGCUGGAAACAGUAUUUCUCUUCGGAGCAAGGAGACAGGUGGUGCAUGGUUGUCGUCAGCUCGUGUCGUGAGAUGUUGGGUUAAGUCCCGCAACGAGCGCAACCCUUAUGGUCAGUUACUACGCAAGAGGACUCUGGCCAGACUGCCGUUGACAAAACGGAGGAAGGUGGGGAUGACGUCAAAUCAUCAUGCCCUUUAUGACUUGGGCUACACACGUACUACAAUGGCGUUAAACAAAGAGAAGCAAGACCGCGAGGUGGAGCAAAACUCAGAAACAACGUCCCAGUUCGGACUGCAGGCUGCAACUCGCCUGCACGAAGUCGGAAUUGCUAGUAAUCGUGGAUCAGCAUGCCACGGUGAAUACGUUCCCGGGCCUUGCACUCACCGCCCGUCAAG